CUCCCCCACAGGUCAUGUAAUCAGAAAUAAUGGGCAGGGGUUAAAGAUAAAAUCCAAAUAUUUAUUCCCAAAUCAAUAAAAAUUCUUACUUAUAAAAACACAGCAAGCUGCAUACAAGGAAUCUUCCAAGGUCAAACACAACACGUUUCGGCUGGAUGCCUUCAUCAGGUUCAUAAAGAUGUGAUCCUCCUUUCUCCUCUUUUAUGUCAUUGUUUGGCGCCAAAAAAUCAUAUUAGCCCCGCCCCCUUUUCAUUGCGUCACUUCCGGUCCGACGUGAUGUGGAUUUCCGGUUUCGGCUAGGCAUUAGUAGCAACAUAUACGCCAUCUUGGUACACCCUGAGGGACCUCCCAGGGUGUAUUUCAUUCCCAUACUGGCAGUCUAAAUGUUCUUAGGUCCAUAUCUAAUACAUAUUUGUAUAGGACGACCGGAAGUACUCCGGCGGCCAGUUUUAAUAAGGUAAUACAGUAUGGGCAGGGAGACAAGAAGAGAAAAUAAAGAGAGAGCAGCAUCAAUAAUUACAAAAAUAACAUAUAUUAAAAAAGUGUAGAAUACAGACUAAGAACAGAAUCUGUCUAUGUUCCAAUAUACAAAUGUGCAUAUAUUAUUAUUUAAAGCUGUAUUACACAUACCCCAAUAUUAUUAUUUAAAGCUGUAUUACACAUACCCCAAGGUAACAAAAAAAAGGGUGUUUUAAUAUGAACCAUUCAGGACUAAAAAAACAGGGUAAUAAAAGAGAGUAAUAAGAGAGAAAAAUAUAUGCAAGGACAAAAUAAAACCUUUUUCUGAAUGGCUAGAAAGGUGGAUAUAUUAAAUAUAGUUAAAAAUCUCAAAAUCUAUGUUCAUGCCAGCAGGGGAUAAAGUAUCUAGCUCAAAAAUCCACCUCAUCUCCGUUUUAUUAAAACUCCUAAUAAAAUCUCCCCCUCUCCAAGGUUUUUUUACGCUUUCAAUUCCUAUAAAAUGUAAGCAUUUAGGAUCCCCACUAUGGUAUUGGGCAAAGUGGGCAGACACUGAAUGAUUUAGGACUUUUUUCUUAAUAUUGCGAAUAUGCUCGCCUAUAUCUCCAAAAUAAAAUGACGUGCAGCCGGGCACAAAGUGAUCACCAUGGAAACCGUGGAAGCUCCUAUACAGGAUCGUAGAAAAAAGUUACUUUUUUCUACGAUCCUGUAUAGGAGCUUCCACGGUUUCCAUGGUGAUCACGUUUUGCCCGGCCGCACGUCAUCACGUGAUGACGUCAGGAGGCGGUCCGUACUCACUUUCGGGUUUCGGUGGCGGGCUAAGGGUUUCACGCUGAACUGGAUUGGUAAGAGCACUAAUAUUGUAUGGUUAUAUAUUUUCAAUGUUUUGACCGUGAUAGUAACCUUGAAAAAGACCCGCAGGGGUCGAAACGUCGGUUGGUUGGUUGGUUUUGCGUUAUGCACAUAAUUUAAAUAAAUUAGAGUAUAUUUUUUCACCAAGUCCUGUGAGUGCAUCUUGGAUUCUUAUCUUCUUACAUAUUGGACGCAUCACGGAUUGCACCUAGGCGGGUAUAUUGGAAUAUGGAGG
Molecule: non-coding RNA, 1543 nt
Organism: Pelobates cultripes (western spadefoot toad)
Lineage: Eukaryota; Metazoa; Chordata; Amphibia; Anura; Pelobatidae
Source: the annotation of a GenBank genome assembly